Non-coding RNA from Vicia faba (fava bean), 246 nucleotides. NCBI's taxonomy places the organism in Eukaryota, Viridiplantae, Streptophyta, Magnoliopsida, Fabales, Fabaceae. The record is from the annotation of a GenBank genome assembly.
AUGGCUGAGCUACAAAACUUGAAGCACAAGCAAGGAGAAAAGGCUCAUCAUGCAAAGAAAAAAAGGAACGGGAUUAGUAGCAAGUGUGCUUCUUUGGUUAAGGAGCAACGUGCUCGUCUCUACAUCGUUCGACGUUGUGCCACCAUGCUUCUUUGUUGGGAGACAAGUAUCUUGGUCCAUGUUCUCUGUCAUUGCAAUUUUGGAACACAAGAUCUCAGAUAUGACAAACAACUUAGUGUGAGAUGA